This 372-nucleotide ribosomal RNA is filed under the name uncultured bacterium. Its description in RNAcentral is "bacterial SSU rRNA". It matches the Rfam family "Bacterial small subunit ribosomal RNA", at positions 527 to 896 of the family's 1533-position model. The record is from RNAcentral.
GUAGGGUCCAAGCGUUAUCCGGAAUCACUGGGCGUAAAGCGUGUGUAGGCGGUGUGUUAAGUGAAAUGCGAAAUCUCGUGGCUCAACCAUGUAGACUGUAUUUCAUACUGGCAUACUUGAGGAUGGCAGAGGCAAGUGGAAUUGGUAGUGUAGCAGUGAAAUGCGUAGAUAUUACCAGGAACACCAAUGGCGAAGGCAGCUUGCUGGGCCAUAUCUGACGCUGAGACACGAAAGCGUGGGGAGCGAACAGGAUUAGAUACCCUGGUAGUCCACGCCGUAAACGAUGCAGGCUAUUAGUGUGGGGUAUCGACCCCCUGCGCUGAGAAGCUAACGCGAUAAGCCUGCCGCCUGGGGAGUACGAGCGCAAGCUUA